RNAcentral lists this ribosomal RNA (398 nucleotides) under uncultured bacterium. Its description in RNAcentral is "partial 16S ribosomal RNA". It matches the Rfam family "Bacterial small subunit ribosomal RNA", at positions 523 to 918 of the family's 1533-position model. The record is from RNAcentral.
AUACGUAGGGUGCGAGCGUUGUCCGGAAUUACUGGGCGUAAAGAGCUCGUAGGUGGUUUGUCGCGUCGUCUGUGAAAUUCCGGGGCUUAACUCCGGGCGUGCAGGCGAUACGGGCAUAACUUGAGUACUGUAGGAGAGACUGGAAUUCCUGGUGUAGCGGUGAAAUGCGCAGAUAUCAGGAGGAACACCGGUGGCGAAGGCGGGUCUCUGGGCAGUAACUGACGCUGAGGAGCGAAAGCAUGGGUAGCGAACAGGAUUAGAUACCCUGGUAGUCCAUGCCGUAAACGGUGGGCGCUAGGUGUAGGGGUCUUCCACGACUUCUGUGCCGUAGCUAACGCAUUAAGCGCCCCGCCUGGGGAGUACGGCCGCAAGGCUAAAACUCAAAGGAAUUGACGGGG